UGGUUGUCGUCAGCUCGUGUCGUGAGAUGUUGGGUUAAGUCCCGCAACGAGCGCAACCCCUACGUUUAGUUGCUAACGCGUGAAGGCGAGCACUCUAGACGAACUGCCGUUGACAAAAACGGAGGAAGGUGGGGAUGACGUCAAAUCAUCAUGCCCCUUAUGUUCUGGGCUACACACGUGCUACAAUGGCCGGUACAGACGGACGCAAAGCCGCGAGGUGGAGCAAAUCCUAAAAAAGCCGGUCUCAGUUCGGAUUGCAGGCUGCAAUUCGCCUGCAUGAAGUCGGAAUCGCUAGUAAUCGCAGGUCAGCAUACUGCGGUGAAUACGUUCCCGGGCCUU
This 339-nucleotide ribosomal RNA is filed under the name uncultured Pelotomaculum sp. RNAcentral describes it as "bacterial SSU rRNA". It matches the Rfam family "Bacterial small subunit ribosomal RNA", at positions 1046 to 1382 of the family's 1533-position model. The record is from RNAcentral. Lineage: Bacteria; Bacillati; Bacillota; Clostridia; Eubacteriales; Desulfotomaculaceae.